ACACAGGUAUAAGUACACAGGGGAUAAUGGGGAAGAAGAGCGACACCUGGAGGAGGGUGGAGACAAGCACAAGGACAGGUGAAACAAAUCAGGGAGUGACAGAGACUAUAUAUGAAGUCUAACAACAAUAGUUAUUCUAUCUGUUCUAUUAUAUUGUAAUAGUUUAUAUGAUAUUGUUAGAUCUGUACUCUGACUGACAACCCCACCUACAUCUGGUAUAGGAAUGGACACAAAGUAAAGGAGGACACUUCCAGCCAGUACUCAGACUACCUUAGAGACCCAGACAGUUACUCCUGUGCUGUAAAAGGCCAUGCGUACCUCCACUCUCCUGCAGUGUAUGGCCCAAAGAACACCUCAGUGUCAGUCAGUCCCUCUGGUGAAAUAGUGGAGGGCAGUUCAGUGACUCUGACCUGCAGCAGUGAUGCCAACCCACCUGUGGACAAAUACACCUGGUA
Oncorhynchus tshawytscha (Chinook salmon) is the source of this 455-nucleotide long non-coding RNA. RefSeq lists it as uncharacterized. Lineage: Eukaryota; Metazoa; Chordata; Actinopteri; Salmoniformes; Salmonidae. The record is from RefSeq and is a predicted model, not a curated record. The transcript has 2 exons.